AGCGCAGGCGGGAAGACAAGUUGGAAGUGAAAUCUAUGGGCCCAACCCAUAAACUGCUUUCAAAACUGUUUUUCUUGAGUAGUGCAGAGGUAGGCGGAAUUCCCGAUGUAGCGGUGGAAUGCGUAGAUAUCGGGAGGAACACCAGUGGCGAAGGCGGCCUACUGGGCACCAACUGACGCUGAGGCUCGAAAGUGUGGGUAGCAAACG
RNAcentral lists this ribosomal RNA (207 nucleotides) under uncultured bacterium. RNAcentral describes it as "partial 16S ribosomal RNA". It matches the Rfam family "Bacterial small subunit ribosomal RNA", at positions 568 to 774 of the family's 1533-position model. The record is from RNAcentral.